Molecule: ribosomal RNA, 255 nt
Filed under: uncultured bacterium
Lineage: Bacteria
Description: partial 16S ribosomal RNA
Rfam family: Bacterial small subunit ribosomal RNA
Source: RNAcentral
UACGUAGGGAGCGAGCGUUGUCCGGAAUCAUUGGGCGUAAAGAGCUUGUAGGCGGCUUGGUAAGUCGGAUGUGAAACCUCCAGGCUCAACCUGGAGUCGCCAUCCGAUACUGCCAUAGCUAGAGUCCGGUAGGGGCCCACGGAAUUCCUGGUGUAGCGGUGAAAUGCGCAGAUAUCAGGAGGAACACCGGUGGCGAAGGCGGGUCUCUGGGCCGAUACUGACGCUGGAGGAGCGAAAGCGUGGGGAGCGAACAGG